CUAACGCAUAACUCAGCCCAGUCCACUCCCGUCCACCCCGUCCACCCCGUCCAAAAAACUUCGAUCAAAACCGGCGUCCGAGGCGCACCCAUGUAAGGGAGAUCGGAUGCAGCACCCGGCUCAGCCGAGAACGGCUGGCUUGCGCCCGAAAGGCUCAAGAAACCUGCGCCCGGUCUUCGGAUUAUCCAUAUCCACCCCCAGGGGGGUGGGGGUAUCGCACACCUGGAGAGGACAUGAGCCAC
RNAcentral lists this unclassified non-coding RNA (242 nucleotides) under uncultured fungus. RNAcentral describes it as "sequence contains ITS1". The record is from RNAcentral. Lineage: Eukaryota; Fungi.